AGAAUAGUUCAGUGGCAGAACACUAGUUUCCCAAACUAGUUGUCGCGGGUUCAAUUCCCGUUUCUC
RNAcentral lists this transfer RNA (66 nucleotides) under Clostridium niameyense. It matches the Rfam family "tRNA". Rfam says of the family: Transfer RNA (tRNA) molecules are approximately 80 nucleotides in length. Their secondary structure includes four short double-helical elements and three loops (D, anti-codon, and T loops). Further hydrogen bonds mediate the characteristic L-shaped molecular structure. tRNAs have two regions of fundamental functional importance: the anti-codon, which is responsible for specific mRNA codon recognition, and the 3' end, to which the tRNAs corresponding amino acid is attached (by aminoacyl-tRNA synthetases). tRNAs cope with the degeneracy of the genetic code in two manners: having more than one tRNA (with a specific anti-codon) for a particular amino acid; and 'wobble' base-pairing, i.e. permitting non-standard base-pairing at the 3rd anti-codon position. The record is from RNAcentral. Lineage: Bacteria; Bacillati; Bacillota; Clostridia; Eubacteriales; Clostridiaceae.